This 433-nucleotide ribosomal RNA is filed under the name uncultured bacterium. Its description in RNAcentral is "partial 16S ribosomal RNA". It matches the Rfam family "Bacterial small subunit ribosomal RNA", at positions 29 to 507 of the family's 1533-position model. The record is from RNAcentral.
AACGAACGCUGGCGGCAUGCCUAACACAUGCAAGUCGAACGAGACCUUCGGGUCUAGUUGCGCACGUGUGCGUAACGCGUGGGAACCUGCCCUUAGGUUCGGAAUAACUCCCCGUAAGGGGUGCUAAUACCGGUUAAUGUCUUCGGACCAAAGAUUUAUCGCCUUUGGAUGGGCCCGCGUUGGAUUAGCUAGUUGGUAGUGUAAAAGCCUACCAAGGCGACGAUCCAUAGCUGGUCUGAGAGGAUGAUAAGCCACACUGGGACUGAGACACGGCCCAGACUCCUACGGGAGGGAGCAGUGGGGAAUAUUGGACGAUGGGCGAAAGCGUGAUACAGCAAUGCCGCGUGAGUGAUGAAGGCCUUAGGGUUGUAAAGCUCUUUUACCCGAGAUGAUAAUGACAGUACCGGGAGAAUAAGCACCGGCUAACUCCGUG